RNAcentral lists this ribosomal RNA (429 nucleotides) under Acidobacteriota bacterium. RNAcentral's name for it is "Acidobacteria bacterium partial 16S ribosomal RNA". It matches the Rfam family "Bacterial small subunit ribosomal RNA", at positions 355 to 776 of the family's 1533-position model. Lineage: Bacteria; Pseudomonadati; Acidobacteriota. The record is from RNAcentral.
UGGGGAAUUUUGGACAAUGGGGGAAACCCUGAUCCAGCCAUCCCGCGUGUGCGAUGAAGGCCUUCGGGUUGUAAAGCACUUUUGGCAGGAAAGAAACGUCAUGGGUUAAUACCCCGUGCAACUGACGGUACCUGCAGAAUAAGCACCGGCUAACUACGUGCCAGCAGCCGCGGUAAUACGUAGGGUGCAAGCGUUAAUCGGAAUUACUGGGCGUAAAGCGUGCGCAGGCGGUUCGGAAAGAAAGAUGUGAAAUCCCAGAGCUCAACUUUGGAACUGCAUUUUUAACUACCGGGCUAGAGUGUGUCAGAGGGAGGUGGAAUUCCGCGUGUAGCAGUGAAAUGCGUAGAUAUGCGGAGGAACACCGAUGGCGAAGGCAGCCUCCUGGGAUAACACUGACGCUCAUGCACGAAAGCGUGGGGAGCAAACAGG